This 2892-nucleotide ribosomal RNA is filed under the name Pseudomonas sp. Wu6. RNAcentral describes it as "23S ribosomal RNA". It matches the Rfam family "Bacterial large subunit ribosomal RNA". RNAcentral also lists the same sequence under 1 other name. The record is from RNAcentral. Lineage: Bacteria; Pseudomonadati; Pseudomonadota; Gammaproteobacteria; Pseudomonadales; Pseudomonadaceae.
GGUCAAGUGAAGAAGCGCAUACGGUGGAUGCCUUGGCAGUCAGAGGCGAUGAAAGACGUGGUAGCCUGCGAAAAGCUUCGGGGAGUCGGCAAACAGACUUUGAUCCGGAGAUGUCUGAAUGGGGGAACCCAGCCAUCAUAAGAUGGUUAUCUUACGCUGAAUACAUAGGCGUAAGAGGCGAACCAGGGGAACUGAAACAUCUAAGUACCCUGAGGAAAAGAAAUCAACCGAGAUUCCCUUAGUAGUGGCGAGCGAACGGGGACUAGCCCUUAAGUGGCUUUGAGAUUAGCGGAACGCUCUGGAAAGUGCGGCCAUAGUGGGUGAUAGCCCUGUACGCGAAAAUCUCUUAGUCAUGAAAUCGAGUAGGACGGAGCACGAGAAACUUUGUCUGAAUAUGGGGGGACCAUCCUCCAAGGCUAAAUACUACUGACUGACCGAUAGUGAACUAGUACCGUGAGGGAAAGGCGAAAAGAACCCCGGAGAGGGGAGUGAAAUAGAUCCUGAAACCGUAUGCGUACAAGCAGUGGGAGCCCACUUUGUUGGGUGACUGCGUACCUUUUGUAUAAUGGGUCAGCGACUUAUUUUCAGUGGCGAGCUUAACCGAAUAGGGGAGGCGUAGCGAAAGCGAGUCUUAAUAGGGCGUCUAGUCGCUGGGAAUAGACCCGAAACCGGGCGAUCUAUCCAUGGGCAGGUUGAAGGUUGGGUAACACUAACUGGAGGACCGAACCGACUACCGUUGAAAAGUUAGCGGAUGACCUGUGGAUCGGAGUGAAAGGCUAAUCAAGCUCGGAGAUAGCUGGUUCUCCUCGAAAGCUAUUUAGGUAGCGCCUCAUGUAUCACUGUAGGGGGUAGAGCACUGUUUCGGCUAGGGGGUCAUCCCGACUUACCAAACCGAUGCAAACUCCGAAUACCUACAAGUGCCGAGCAUGGGAGACACACGGCGGGUGCUAACGUCCGUCGUGAAAAGGGAAACAACCCAGACCGUCAGCUAAGGUCCCAAAGUUAUGGUUAAGUGGGAAACGAUGUGGGAAGGCUUAGACAGCUAGGAGGUUGGCUUAGAAGCAGCCACCCUUUAAAGAAAGCGUAAUAGCUCACUAGUCGAGUCGGCCUGCGCGGAAGAUGUAACGGGGCUCAAACCAUACACCGAAGCUACGGGUAUCACGUAAGUGAUGCGGUAGAGGAGCGUUCUGUAAGCCUGUGAAGGUGAGUUGAGAAGCUUGCUGGAGGUAUCAGAAGUGCGAAUGCUGACAUGAGUAACGACAAUGGGUGUGAAAAACACCCACGCCGAAAGACCAAGGUUUCCUGCGCAACGUUAAUCGACGCAGGGUUAGUCGGUCCCUAAGGCGAGGCUGAAAAGCGUAGUCGAUGGAAAACAGGUUAAUAUUCCUGUACUUCUGGUUAUUGCGAUGGAGGGACGGAGAAGGCUAGGCCAGCUUGGCGUUGGUUGUCCAAGUUUAAGGUGGUAGGCUGGAAUCUUAGGUAAAUCCGGGAUUCUAAGGCCGAGAGCUGAUGACGAGUCAUCUUUUAGAUGACGAAGUGGUUGAUGCCAUGCUUCCAAGAAAAGCUUCUAAGCUUCAGGUAACCAGGAACCGUACCCCAAACCGACACAGGUGGUUGGGUAGAGAAUACCAAGGCGCUUGAGAGAACUCGGGUGAAGGAACUAGGCAAAAUGGCACCGUAACUUCGGGAGAAGGUGCGCCGGUGAGGGUGAAGGACUUGCUCCGUAAGCUCAUGCCGGUCGAAGAUACCAGGCCGCUGCGACUGUUUAUUAAAAACACAGCACUCUGCAAACACGAAAGUGGACGUAUAGGGUGUGACGCCUGCCCGGUGCCGGAAGGUUAAUUGAUGGGGUUAGCUAACGCGAAGCUCUUGAUCGAAGCCCCGGUAAACGGCGGCCGUAACUAUAACGGUCCUAAGGUAGCGAAAUUCCUUGUCGGGUAAGUUCCGACCUGCACGAAUGGCGUAACGAUGGCGGCGCUGUCUCCACCCGAGACUCAGUGAAAUUGAAAUCGCUGUGAAGAUGCAGUGUAUCCGCGGCUAGACGGAAAGACCCCGUGAACCUUUACUAUAGCUUUGCACUGGACUUUGAAUUUGCUUGUGUAGGAUAGGUGGGAGGCUUUGAAGCGUGGACGCCAGUCUGCGUGGAGCCAACCUUGAAAUACCACCCUGGCAACUUUGAGGUUCUAACUCAGGUCCGUUAUCCGGAUCGAGGACAGUGUAUGGUGGGUAGUUUGACUGGGGCGGUCUCCUCCUAAAGAGUAACGGAGGAGUACGAAGGUGCGCUCAGACCGGUCGGAAAUCGGUCGUAGAGUAUAAAGGCAAAAGCGCGCUUGACUGCGAGACAGACACGUCGAGCAGGUACGAAAGUAGGUCUUAGUGAUCCGGUGGUUCUGUAUGGAAGGGCCAUCGCUCAACGGAUAAAAGGUACUCCGGGGAUAACAGGCUGAUACCGCCCAAGAGUUCAUAUCGACGGCGGUGUUUGGCACCUCGAUGUCGGCUCAUCACAUCCUGGGGCUGAAGCCGGUCCCAAGGGUAUGGCUGUUCGCCAUUUAAAGUGGUACGCGAGCUGGGUUUAGAACGUCGUGAGACAGUUCGGUCCCUAUCUGCCGUGGACGUUUGAGAUUUGAGAGGGGCUGCUCCUAGUACGAGAGGACCGGAGUGGACGAACCUCUGGUGUUCCGGUUGUCACGCCAGUGGCAUUGCCGGGUAGCUAUGUUCGGAAUAGAUAACCGCUGAAAGCAUCUAAGCGGGAAACUAGCCUCAAGAUGAGAUCUCACUGGAACCUUGAGUUCCCUGAAGGGCCGUCGAAGACUACGACGUUGAUAGGUUGGGUGUGUAAGCGCUGUGAGGCGUUGAGCUAACCAAUACUAAUUGCCCGUGAGGCUUGACCAU